GGGGGGCGGGGGGGGGGGGCUGGGCGCGUGCGGGGGGGGCGGAGGGGGCGGGGUUGUGGGGGGUGCUCGAGGGGGGGGGGGGGGAGGGGCACGGGGGUAAGCUGCCCUUGACUUUGGGAUAACUGCAGGAAACUGGGGCUCAUCCCGGGUAGGAGCGCCUGCUGCAUUGGUGGUUUUGUGCAGUUUCGGCGGUGGGGGAUGGCCUGGCGGCUUCUCCGUUGGUUGGUGGGGUAGUGGCUUACCAAGGCUUUGACGGGUAGCCCGCCUGAGAGGGUGACCGGCCACAUUGGGACUGAGAUACGGCCCAGACUCCUACGGGAGGCAGCAGUGGGGAAUAUUGCACAAUGGGCGGAAGCCUGAUGCAGCAACGCCGCGUGCGGGAUGACGGCCUUCGGGUUGUAAACCGCUUUCGCCUGUGACGAAGCGUGAGUGACGGUAAUGGGUAAAGAAGCACCGGCUAACUACGUG
Molecule: ribosomal RNA, 468 nt
Filed under: uncultured bacterium
Lineage: Bacteria
Description: partial 16S ribosomal RNA
Rfam family: Bacterial small subunit ribosomal RNA (bases 48-468)
Source: RNAcentral